GACGAACGCUGGCGGCGUGCUUAACACAUGCAAGUCGAACGGGAAGUCCCUGCUUUUGUGGGGUGCUCGAGUUGCGAACGGGUGAGUAACACGUGAGUAACCUGCCCUUGACUUUGGGAUAUCUUCAUGACGCUGGAGGUAAUACCGGAUAGGAGCUCCUGCUGCUUGGUGGGGGUUGGUAGGUUUCGGCGGUUGGGGAUGGACUCGCCGCGUAUCAGAUUGUUGGUUGGGUAGUGUCUUAGCAUGGCUUUGACGCGUAGCCGGCCUGAGCGGGUGACCGGCCACAUUACGACUGAGCUACGGCACAGACUACACCGGGAGGCAGCAGAGGAGUGUAUAGCACAGUGGGAGGAAGCAUGAUGUAGUAACGCCGCGUGCGGGAAGACGGCCAGCGGGUUGUAAAGCGAAUUCGUCUGUGACGAAGCGUGAGUGACGGUAAUGGGUAAAGAAGCACCGGCUAACUACGUG
RNAcentral lists this ribosomal RNA (468 nucleotides) under uncultured bacterium. RNAcentral's name for it is "partial 16S ribosomal RNA". It matches the Rfam family "Bacterial small subunit ribosomal RNA", at positions 28 to 507 of the family's 1533-position model. The record is from RNAcentral.